Molecule: non-coding RNA, 93 nt
Filed under: bovine gut metagenome
Description: THF riboswitch
Rfam family: THF (Tetrahydrofolate) riboswitch aptamer
About the family: THF riboswitch presents a pseudoknot that joins P1-P2 and the loop of P3 and two THF binding.
Source: RNAcentral
CAGAGUAGGAAACCGUGCGUAAAGUGCACUGUGAACGGGGAGUUGACGCAGUGACGAAAGAUAUUCUGCGGUACGGUUUCUGCAUCCCGCUGC